GAGGUUUUAUCCUAGCAGUUAAUACACGAUGAACAAUGCAGUUGGUAAAGCGAGACGGUGAGGAGGAGAGAGGAAGCAAAUGCCCUUGCCUUGAAGUGUGCCGCAAACGCCGCAUGACUGUGUGCGGAACGGGUAGAGCGAAGACGCGAGCAAACACUCACCGAACCAGUAUGUUAAGAUUUUGCAACACAUUAUCCUACGCUCUGAUGCUCUGGUGAUCACAAACAGAAGAGUGAUUGACGUCACUGCAGGCGGCACAAUGAAUGGCCGGAGACAGAGACCCGGAAGCAUGUUCUAGCAAGGGAGGCGAGCUGUCCUGUGAGACACUCAAGCAGUCUCUGGAGAGGCCCUUGGGACAAGGAGCUGAGGCC
Manis javanica (Malayan pangolin) is the source of this 371-nucleotide long non-coding RNA. RefSeq lists it as uncharacterized. The record is from RefSeq and is a predicted model, not a curated record. NCBI's taxonomy places the organism in Eukaryota, Metazoa, Chordata, Mammalia, Pholidota, Manidae.